Molecule: non-coding RNA, 127 nt
Organism: Triticum aestivum (bread wheat)
Lineage: Eukaryota; Viridiplantae; Streptophyta; Magnoliopsida; Poales; Poaceae
Source: Rfam
AAUAUACUUCCUCUGUCUCAUGUUAUCAAAAUGGAUAAAAAGAAAUGUAUCUAGAAUUAAAAUACGUCUAGAUACAUCCCAUUUUAUCCAUUUUGAUGACAAGUAUUUUCGGACGGAGGGGUAUUUC